RNAcentral lists this transfer RNA (84 nucleotides) under freshwater metagenome. RNAcentral describes it as "tRNA-Ser". It matches the Rfam family "tRNA". From Rfam's summary of the family: Transfer RNA (tRNA) molecules are approximately 80 nucleotides in length. Their secondary structure includes four short double-helical elements and three loops (D, anti-codon, and T loops). Further hydrogen bonds mediate the characteristic L-shaped molecular structure. tRNAs have two regions of fundamental functional importance: the anti-codon, which is responsible for specific mRNA codon recognition, and the 3' end, to which the tRNAs corresponding amino acid is attached (by aminoacyl-tRNA synthetases). tRNAs cope with the degeneracy of the genetic code in two manners: having more than one tRNA (with a specific anti-codon) for a particular amino acid; and 'wobble' base-pairing, i.e. permitting non-standard base-pairing at the 3rd anti-codon position. The record is from RNAcentral.
GGGCGAGUGGCGGAACGGUAGACGCGCUGGCUUCAGGUGCCAGUAUUCGAAAGGAUGUAGGGGUUCAAGUCCCCUCUCGCCCAC